Molecule: ribosomal RNA, 253 nt
Filed under: uncultured bacterium
Lineage: Bacteria
Description: partial 16S ribosomal RNA
Rfam family: Bacterial small subunit ribosomal RNA
Source: RNAcentral
UACGGGGGGGGCAAGCGUUGUUCGGAAUUACUGGGCGUAAAGGGCUCGUAGGUGGCCAACUAAGUCAUACGUGAAAUCCCUCAGCUUAACUGGGGAGCUGCGUCUGAUACUGGAUGGCUUGAGUUUGGGAGAGGGAUGCGGAAUUCCAGGUGUAGCGGUGAAAUGCGUAGAUAUCUGGAGGAACACCGGUGGCGAAGGCGGCAUCCUGGACCAACACUGACACUGAGGAGCGAAAGCCAGGGGAGCAAACGGG